Molecule: long non-coding RNA, 703 nt
Filed under: Fukomys damarensis (Damara mole-rat)
Lineage: Eukaryota; Metazoa; Chordata; Mammalia; Rodentia; Bathyergidae
Description: lncRNA (ENSFDAG00000030921.1)
Source: RNAcentral
CAGAAAAAUGAGGAAAAGAAGCGCAGGAUGCCACAGAUCACUAUAGAAAAAGAGCCUUAGGAUUUUCUCCAGGUUGACCUUUCCCUAGAUUUAGGGAAUAAGAGAAGAGUGAGAGUUACAGGAAAUUACCAAAACUGGGAAUUGUUCAUUGAUCGUCGACCUUCAAUUGGCUGUUUCUCAGUUUUGAAAAAACAAAGUUAUAGGAUCUGCAAAAGUAUACGCCUGAGAGAGGAGACCACCCCUUCAUUUGGAAUUGGGCAACUAUGGGUUAACUGGGUUAUUAGGCAGCUACGGUCAACUAGGUAACUAUGCUCUCUGUAGAAUGCACCUGAGUAACCAUGACAACUUCUGUAAUCUGUCAUCAAAGGAGUAUAAUGGACUCAGAAAGUCCUGCCAGAACUCUUUGCUCCCCUCGCCACACAGGGACACGCACACACACACACACACACGCCACUCUGCUUUGUGUAAAUCCUACUUGCUAUAUUCCCAGGGAACUCCAAUGGAAGUAACCUUCAUAGAAGUAAAAAGAGUUCACAGGUCUUGGAUCACAGCUACCUAGGGAAGAGAGCAUUGUGUUAUGAAGAUGAAGGAUAAAUGCAGACCUCUGCAAUCACAGACUGUACUUUCACCUCCUACGUAGCUUGCUUUCAGAAGCUCUGCACUGUCCUAAAGACAAACUCUCUCCUAAGAGGAAAAGGAGCAG